AUUGAACGCUGGCGGCAGGCUUAACACAUGCAAGUCGAGCGAGCGGCGGACGGGUGAGUAAUGUCUGGGAAACUGCCUGAUGGAGGGGGAUAACUACUGGAAACGGUAGCUAAUACCGCAUAACAUCAGAUGUUACCAGAUGGGAUUAGCUAGUAGGUGGGGUAAUGGCUCACCUAGGCGACGAUCCCUAGCUGGUCUGAGAGGAUGACAGUCCACACGGGAACUGAGACACGGUCCAGACUCCUACGGGAGGCAGCAGUGGGGAAUAUUGCACAAGGGGCGCAAGCCGGAUGCAGCCAUGCCGCGUGAGUGAAGAAGGCCUUCGGGUUGUAAAGCACUGUCAGCGAGGAGGCGUUACUCGCAGAAGAAGCACCGGCUAACUCCGUGCCAGCAGCCGCGGUAAUAC
RNAcentral lists this ribosomal RNA (406 nucleotides) under uncultured bacterium. RNAcentral's name for it is "partial 16S ribosomal RNA". It matches the Rfam family "Bacterial small subunit ribosomal RNA", at positions 30 to 526 of the family's 1533-position model. The record is from RNAcentral.